AGUGAGAAUGUUGGCAUGAGUAGCGAGAUGUGGGUGAGAAUCCCACAGGCCGUAAACCCAAGGUUUCCAGGGGAAGGUUCGUCCGCCCUGGGUUAGUCAGGACCUAAGCCGAGGCCGAAAGGCGUAGGUGAUGGACAACAGGUUGAUAUUCCUGUACCACCAAUAACCGUUUGAGAAAUGGGAUGACACAGUAGGAUAAGCUAACCGCACUGUUGGUUAUGUGCGGGCAAGUAUUGAGGCAGUUCCGAUAGGCAAAUCCGUCGGAAUAAUGCUGGGGUACGAUGCGGAGCGAAAUUUAGUAGCGAAGUAGCUGAUUUCACACUGUCGAGAAAAGUCUCUAUCGAGGUUAAAGGUGCCUGUACCGCAAACCGACACAGGUGGGUGAGGAGAGUAUCCUAAGGCCAGCGAGAGAACUGUUGUUAAGGAACUCGGCAAAAUGACCCCGUAACUUAGGGAGAAGGGGUGCCUUCGAAAGAAGGCCGCAGAGAAUAGGCCCAAGCGACUGUUUACCAAAAACAUAGGUUUCUGCUAAGUCGCAAGACGAUGUAUAGGAGCUGACGCCUGCCCGGUGCUGGAAGGUUAAGGGGAUCUGUUAGAGCAAUCGAAGCAGUGAACUUAAGCCCCAGUAAACGGCGGCCGUAACUAUAACGGUCCUAAGGUAGCGAAAUUCCUUGUCGGGUAAGUUCCGACCCGCACGAAAGGCGUAACGAUUUGGGCACUGUCUCAACAACAGACUCGGUGAAAUUGUAAUACCGGUGAAGAUGCCGGUUACCUGCGACAGGACGGAAAGACCCCAUGGAGCUUUACUGUAGCUUGACAUUGAGUCUCGGUGCUACAUGUACAGGAUAGGUGGGAGACUAUGAAGCAUGGACGUCAGUCUGUGUGGAGUCAUCCUUGGGAUACCACCCUUGUAGUACUGGGAUUCUAACCAGAGGCCAUGAAUCUGGUCUUGGGACACUGUCAGGUGGACAGUUUGACUGGGGCGGUCGCCUCCCAAAAAGUAACGGAGGCGCUCAAAGGUUCUCUCAGUACGGUCGGAAAUCGUACGAAGAGUGUAAAGGCAAAAGAGAGCUUGAUUGCAAGACAUACAGGUCGAGCAAGGACGAAAGUCGGACUUAGUGAUCCGGUGGUUCCGCAUGGAAGGGCCAUCGCUCAACGGAUAAAAGCUACCCUGGGGAUAACAGGCUGAUCUCCCCCAAGAGUCCACAUCGACGGGGAGGUUUGGCACCUCGAUGUCGGCUCAUCACAUCCUGGGGCUGUAGUAGGUCCCAAGGGUUGGGCUGUUCGCCCAUUAAAGUGGUACGCGAGCUGGGUUCAGAACGUCGUGAGACAGUUCGGUCCCUAUCCGUCGCAGGCGUAGGAAAUUUGAGGAGACCUGUCCUUAGUACGAGAGGACCGGGAUGGACGUACCGCUGGUGUACCAGUUGUUCUGCCAAGGGCAUGGCUGGGUAGCUAAGUACGGAAAGGAUAAGCGCUGAAAGCAUCUAAGCGCGAAGCCCACUUCAAGAUAAGAUUUCCCACCGCAAGGUUAAGAUCCCAGGAAGACUACCUGGUUGAUAGGUCAGAGGUGUAAGUGCAGUAAUGUAUUUAGCUUACUGAUACUAAUAGAUCGAGGACUUGACCAA
This 1625-nucleotide ribosomal RNA is filed under the name human gut metagenome. RNAcentral's name for it is "bacterial LSU rRNA". It matches the Rfam family "Bacterial large subunit ribosomal RNA", at positions 1287 to 2925 of the family's 2925-position model. The record is from RNAcentral.